RNAcentral lists this ribosomal RNA (686 nucleotides) under Orychophragmus taibaiensis. Its description in RNAcentral is "eukaryotic LSU rRNA". The stretch from base 303 to 458 matches the Rfam family "5.8S ribosomal RNA". The record is from RNAcentral. Lineage: Eukaryota; Viridiplantae; Streptophyta; Magnoliopsida; Brassicales; Brassicaceae.
UUUCCGUAGGUGAACCUGCGGAAGGAUCAUUGUCGAUACCUAGACCAAAACGACCCGCGAACGAUCGAUCAUCACUCUCGGCCGGCCGGUUUCUUAGCCGAUCCCGUGCUUGCCGAUUCCGUGGCUAUGCGUACGGUACGGUCAAGAUUUAACAUCUUGGUCGGCUCAUGCGCCUAGCUUCCGGACAUCACAAAAACCCCGGCACGAAAAGUGUCAAGGAACAUGCAACUAAACAGCCCGCAUCCGCCAGCCCGGAGACGGUGAUCUGCGCGGAUGCUGUGCUGGAAUAUAAAGUCUAAAACGACUCUCGGCAACGGAUAUCUCGGCUCUCGCAUCGAUGAAGAACGUAGCGAAAUGCGAUACUUGGUGUGAAUUGCAGAAUCCCGUGAACCAUCGAGUCUUUGAACGCAAGUUGCGCCCCAAGCCUUCUGGCCGAGGGCACGUCUGCCUGGGUGUCACAAAUCGUCGUCCCCCCAUCCUCCCGAGGAUACGGGACGGAAGCUGGUCUCCCGUGUGUUACCGCACGCGGUUGGCCAAAACCCGAGCUAAGGACGCCAUGAGCGCCUCGACAUGCGGUGGUGAAUCAAAGCCUCGUUAUACCGUCGAUCGCUCUGGUCCGGAUGCUCUCGAUGACCCAAAGUCCUCAACGCGACCCCAGGUCAGGCGGGAUCACCCGCUGAGUUUAA